RNAcentral lists this ribosomal RNA (605 nucleotides) under uncultured bacterium. RNAcentral describes it as "bacterial SSU rRNA". The stretch from base 1 to 516 matches the Rfam family "Bacterial small subunit ribosomal RNA", at positions 338 to 873 of the family's 1533-position model. The record is from RNAcentral.
CCUACGGGAGGCAGCAGUGGGGAAUCUUGCGCAAUGGGCGAAAGCCUGACGCAGCCAUGCCGCGUGAAUGAUGAAGGUCUUAGGAUUGUAAAAUUCUUUCACCGGGGACGAUAAUGACGGUACCCGGAGAAGAAGCCCCGGCUAACUUCGUGCCAGCAGCCGCGGUAAUACGAAGGGGGCUAGCGUUGCUCGGAAUUACUGGGCGUAAAGGGAGCGUAGGCGGAUAGUUUAGUCAGAGGUGAAAGCCCAGGGCUCAACCUUGGAAUUGCCUUUGAUACUGGCUAUCUUGAGUAUGGGAGAGGUAUGCGGAACUCCGAGUGUAGAGGUGAAAUUCGUAGAUAUUCGGAAGAACACCAGUGGCGAAGGCGGCAUACUGGCCCAUUACUGACGCUGAGGCUCGAAAGCGUGGGGAGCAAACAGGAUUAGAUACCCUGGUAGUCCACGCUGUAAACGAUGAGUGCUAGUUGUCGGCAUGCAUGCAUGUCGGUGACGCAGCUACGCAUAAGACACUCCGCCGUCGGGUAGGUACGGUCGCGAGAAGUUAAACGUACGAAGAAGUUAGACGGCGUGAGACGUGCCGACGGACGACGACGAGGGAGGUUAGG